CUGAUUCAUAUUACAUCUCAGGAAGGU
Molecule: small RNA, 27 nt
Filed under: Bombyx mori (domestic silkworm)
Lineage: Eukaryota; Metazoa; Arthropoda; Insecta; Lepidoptera; Bombycidae
Description: ovarian small RNA-14891
Source: RNAcentral